RNAcentral lists this small RNA (366 nucleotides) under Histoplasma ohiense. Its description in RNAcentral is "hypothetical lncRNA". Lineage: Eukaryota; Fungi; Ascomycota; Eurotiomycetes; Onygenales; Ajellomycetaceae. The record is from RNAcentral.
CAGGCGCGGACGAGCGGGUGUUGCAUCAUAACCCUGUCCGUGCAGUGUGGAAAUAAGAUGCACGCUGUCCUGAAUUUGAUAUUUGCUCCGCUUUGGGAAAUUCCAAUUGUUCUUAGGCUGGUCGGUUUCGCCGGCUGACACUCGUAGUGUCAGACCCAGGAGGAGCCUCGGGAUUUUGGUUUAUAGGUUGGAAGCGCUGGUGGUUUAGCCGCACGAUAUCCUGUCCACUGACACUGUUUUUUUGUUUUUGUUGUCCUGACAUGGUUGAUGAAAUGAUAUCAACGAAAGAGCGGCCAGGAUUUGAAUCAUGUUUUCUGGCGAGAAACACAUCCUUCUCACUUAUUCAACCCGAUUUUAUAAUCUUAC